AUUUAGCCCAGAUUGCAAUGGAAAGCCUCGCAGAAGGAUACACUAUUUUUUGUAGAAGUGACACAGCAACCGAAGGAAGCUCGUGGCGGUUAUAACAAAAAAGUGUUUCCUUUAAGAGUUUGUAAUGGAAAGCUGGAUUAGCU
RNAcentral lists this small RNA (143 nucleotides) under Flavobacterium sinopsychrotolerans. RNAcentral describes it as "Flavo-1 RNA". It matches the Rfam family "Flavo-1 RNA". The record is from RNAcentral. Lineage: Bacteria; Pseudomonadati; Bacteroidota; Flavobacteriia; Flavobacteriales; Flavobacteriaceae.